AGCGAACGCUGGCGGCAGGCCUAACACAUGCAAGUCGAGCGGCCGUAGCAAUACGGCAGCGGCAGACGGGAUAGUAACACGUGGGAACGCGCCCUUCGGUUCGGAAUAACUCAGGGAAACUUGAGCUAAUACCGGAUACGCCCUUACGGGGAAAGGAUUAUUGCGAAGGAACGGACCCGCCGUCGGAUUAGUCUAGUUGGUGAGGUAAUGGCUCACCAAGGCGACGAUCCGUAGCUGGUCUGAGAGGAUGACCAGCAUCACUGGGACUGAGACACGGCCCAGACUCCUACGGGA
RNAcentral lists this ribosomal RNA (294 nucleotides) under uncultured bacterium. RNAcentral's name for it is "partial 16S ribosomal RNA". It matches the Rfam family "Bacterial small subunit ribosomal RNA", at positions 29 to 346 of the family's 1533-position model. The record is from RNAcentral.